This 1709-nucleotide long non-coding RNA is filed under the name Marmota monax (woodchuck). Lineage: Eukaryota; Metazoa; Chordata; Mammalia; Rodentia; Sciuridae. The record is from RNAcentral.
UGCAGAUCCAGAGUCUUUUCCUAUUGUUGAACUGAUUAGAGCCCGCAGAGAUUUUGGAAUUACGGCAGCUAUAGUGACAGCUGUGGCGGUAUCUGCUGCUGCAGCAGUUACAGCUGGAGUAGCCAUGGCCAGCCAGGUACAAACUGCUGCCACUAUUAAUCAGGUUAUUCAACAAACAUCCACCAUACUUGAAUCUCAAAGUAGAAUUAAUCAACACAUUUUAUCUGGGNAGUGUUGGAAUGGAUCCUGGCCUAUGGCAAUGGUUAUGAAAAUUCCAACUUUUGUCCCGAUCCCGGUUACUGCAGAUCCAGAGUUAUUUCCUAUUGUUGAACUGAUUAGAGCCCGUAGAGAUUUUGAAAUUACGGCAGCCAUAGUGACAGCUGUGGCGGUAUCUGCUGCUGCAGCAGUUAUAGCUGGAGUAGCCAUAGCCAGCCAAAUUCAAACUGCUGCCACUAUUAAUCAGGUUAUUCAACAAACAUCCACCAUACUUGAGUCUCAAAGUAAAAUUAAUCAACACACUUUAUCUGGGAUUCUAGCUGCUAAUCAAAGGAUAGAUCUGCUUCAAGCUCAAGUUGAGGAAUUGUNGGGUUGUGUUGAUCAACGUGCACAUUUAUGUAUAACCUCUGUCAGAUUUUAUGAUUCCAGAAAUGCCUCCCACAUCAUCGGGGAGUAUCCAUCCGGAACCUGGUCCAUGGAAGCAGAAAACAUGAUCCAGUCUCAACUAACCCAGAUAGCUGUCUUGAACAGUACCCGUGUCGAUCCCGUGACUUUGGGUCAAUUCACCGAUUGGAUAUCUUCUGCUUUUUCCUUCUUCAAAGAGUGGGUGGGAGUAGGCAUUUUUGGUGCAAUGUGUUGCUUCAGUGUUGUACUCUGUUUGUGGCUUCUCUGUCGCCUUAAAACUCGCCAUGCACAAGAAAAGGCUAUGAUCAUACAAGCUCUUNAUUGUCUGACCUAGUACAUUUGGGUUGUGUUGAUCAACGUGCACAUUUAUGUAUAACCUCUGUCAGAUUUAAUGAUUCCAAAAAUGCCUCCCGCAUCAUUGGCAAAUAUUUGGCCGAAAAUUGGUCCAUGGCAGCAGAAAACUUGAUCCAGUCUCAACUAACUCAGAUUGCUGUUUUAAACAAUACCCGUGUUGAACCAGUGACUUUGGGUCAAUUCACCGAUUGGAUAUCUUCUGCUUUUUCCUUCUUCAAAGAGUGGGUGGGAGUAGACAUUUUUGGUACAAUGUGUUGCUUCAGUGUUGUACUCUGUUUGUGGCUUCUCUGUCGCCUUAAGGCCCACAGUGCUCACGAUAAGGCUAUGAUCAUACAAGCUCUUGCAGCUUUAAAAAAUGGCAACUCACCUCAAGUCUGGCUUGCACAUCUUAAGCAGUAAACCUUUGUCAUGGUCGUUACACCCCAAGUUAUUAUAACAUUGCACUGGGAUCGACAUGACUUUCCUUGUUAUUCUCUUAGUGUUGGAAAGCCCUUACACUCUGCCGGUCUUACUGCCAUUGCACGCAGAUGGGUUUCCACACUAGUGCUUUUCUAUCGCCUUGAAGUUCGUGCCUUUCUUUCAGGGUGCUGUCAACUUGUUUGUCCUUAUAAACAGUCACAGUUCAGCCUCAGCUAUCCCCCUUCGUCCACCAUCGUCACGAUACAGGAUGCGAGACAAGGCACUGCACUUGAGUGAUCCUUGACGUGGACCUCAAGGAGAGCAUGUCCUAUUGC